This is an RNA transcript of Solea solea (common sole), 13742 nucleotides long. It is a transcript of the gene named spectrin beta chain, non-erythrocytic 4-like, with no coding region annotated. The record is from RefSeq and is a predicted model, not a curated record. The transcript has 41 exons. NCBI's taxonomy places the organism in Eukaryota, Metazoa, Chordata, Actinopteri, Pleuronectiformes, Soleidae.
UGUCAGGUGGAAACGGGAACCACUGUGGAUCAUCAUCAUCCUCAUCGCCACCUUCCACCGGCUCGGAUCCUCAGCCCGGCCGGCGGUGACCGCUGCAGGCACGCAGCGCCCCCUUUUUCAUGCGCCACGCACGGCAUCGUGUCCCCACGGUGCACGGUGCACAGUCUGCGGACUCUUUCUGUCCAGACAAACCGCUUACUCUACCCAAAAUCGAGGGAAGAUCCAGGGGCGUCCAUUGAUAAACCGCUGUCCUCACAGAUCCAGCCCUGUAGGGGUCUUCGGCGUUAGAGGAGGACACAUCUGACCUGAGGACGCGGACAGCGAAGCCGGAGGGCACCGGGGCGCGAUGGCUAAUGCUUCCCCAGACCUGGACAACGCAGAAGCCCAGCGCCAGCUUAACAACAACAACCGACCGAUCGGUUCUGGGUUCUGGGAGAAGGAGUGUUCCAGCUCCAAGCUGUUUGAAUGCUCACGCAUUAAGGCGUUGGCAGAUGAACGAGAUGCGGUGCAGAAGAAGACUUUUACCAAGUGGGUAAACUCACAUCUGUCCAGAGUUUCCUGUCGCAUAUCUGACCUCUACAACGACCUCAGAGAUGGAUACAUGCUCACCAGACUGCUGGAGGUCCUCAGUGGAGAGCUGCUGCCGAGGCCGACCCGUGGUCGUAUGCGAAUCCACUGUCUGGAAAAUGUUGACAAAGCCUUGCAGUUCCUUAAAGAGCAGCGAGUUCACCUGGAAAACGUUGGUUCCCACGACAUUGUGGAUGGAAACCACCGCCUCACUCUGGGCCUUAUCUGGACCAUCAUCCUACGCUUCCAGAUCCAGGUGAUCAAAAUAGAGACAGAGGACAACAGAGAAACUCGCUCUGCCAAGGAUGCCCUGCUACUCUGGUGCCAGAUGAAGACCGCAGGGUAUCCUGAAGUCAACAUUCAGAACUUCACCACCUGCUGGAGAGAUGGCCUGGCCUUCAACGCCCUCAUACACAGACACAGGCCAGACCUGAUUGAGUUCCAUAAGCUGACAAGGUCCAAUGCAACACAUAACCUCCAGCAAGCCUUUAAUAUCGCUGAGCAGAACCUGGGCCUUACCAAACUCCUGGACCCUGAGGACGUGAAUACAGAAAACCCAGAUGAAAAGUCCAUCAUCACUUAUGUGGUCUCCUACUACCACUACUUCUCCAAAAUGAAGGCUCUUAUUGUGGAGGGCAAGAGGAUUGGGAAGGUACUUGAAAACUGUGUUGAGUCGGAAAAGAUCAUCAACCGCUACGAGGCUCUGGCAUCAGACCUGCUGGACUGGAUUGAAAAGACCAUUGCAGUCAUCAGCAACCAGAAGUUUGCCAACUCCCUGACUGGAGUCCAGCAGCAGCUGCAGGCCUUCACCACUUACUGCACCAUAGAAAAACCAAUCAAGUUUCAGGAGAAGGGGAAUCUCGAGGUCCUUCUUUUCACCAUCCAAAGCAAACUCAGAGCCAACAACCAGAAACCCUAUGUGCCUCACGAUGGGAAGCUAAUUUCAGACAUCAACAAGGCGUGGGAAAGGCUGGAGAAGGCGGAGCAUGAGAGGGGCGUGGCCCUGCGCAAGGAGCUGAUUCGUCAAGAGAAGCUGGAGUUGCUGGCUCAGCGCUUUGACCACAAAACCACCAUGAGACAAGCCUGGCUUAAUGAGAAUCAGAGACUCGUAUCACAGGACAAUUUUGGCUACGACCUCCCAGCAGUCGAGGCAGCAAUGAAGAAACACGAGGCCAUUGAGGCGGACAUAGCCUCAUAUGAAGACCGGAUUGGAGUGGUGGUAGAACUUGCAGCAGAGAUGGAGAAGGAAGGAUAUUAUGACAUUCGCCGAAUCUUGGCACGAAAGGAGAACAUCCUGGGUCAGUGGGGCCUGCUGAAGGAGCUGGUGGCAGGGAGGAGGACCCGUCUGGAGAAGAACCUGGCCCUGCAGAAGACCUUUCAAGACAUGGUUUACAUGAUUGACUGGAUGGAGGACACACAGGUCCAGCUGCUGUCAAAGGACUUUGGGAAACAUCUUCUGGAGGUGGAUGACCUGCUGCAGAAACACAGCCUGCAAGAAGCAGACAUUACUGUACAGGCUGACAGGGUGGAGACACUCAACACUGCUGCACUCAAAUUCACCACUAUAGAGGGUUACCAACCGUGUGACCCCCAGGUGAUCUGUAACCGUGUCAACCACGUCUCUUCCUGUCUGGAGGAGCUGAAACAACUGGCAGUUAAAAGGCGUGCUGAGCUGGAGGAGUCCAGACAGCUGUGGGCCUUUUUUCAGGAGCUGGAGGAGUCUGAGGUCUGGAUCAGAGAGAAGAGUUCGAUCCUGGGAGCUCAGGGUUAUGGGAAGGACCUGAGCAGUGUGCUGAGGCUACUGCAAAAACACAAGACUCUGGCUGGAGAACUGCUGGCUCACCGGUCACUGCUGCAGAACACCAUGAAGAGAGGAAAGCAGAUCCUGAGUGAGAAGAGCUUUGGCACUGCGGGGAUCCAGGAGCGCAUCAUGGAGGUGAAGAGUGAGUGGAAGCAGCUGGAGGACCAGGCAGCGCAGCGUCUCGGUCACCUCCAGGAGGCACUCAACUUUUUUCAGUUCUCCACGGAGACAGACGACUUGGUGGCCUGGCUGCAGGAUGCUUACCGACUGGUCUCCAGCGAAGACUUUGGACACGACGAAUACUCUACUCAGUCACUGCUGAAGAAACACAGAGGGGUCAGUGAGGCCAUCGACAAGCAUCGCGUGCAUGUUGUUACGCUGCGCAAACACAUGGUGACGCUGCCUCUGCAGUACCGUGAACAGGAGGAGGUGCAGGUUCGGAUGGGAGAGGUGGAGCAGUUGUACACCGAGGUGAUUGAGGUCGCGGUGCUCAGACAGCAGUGGCUUCACGAUGCCCUUGCUGUCUACCACAUGUUCAGUGAGGUCAACGCCUGCGAGCUGUGGAUUGAUGAGAAGGAGCAGUGGCUAGAUAAGAUGGAGAUCCCUGAGAGACUGGAGGACGUGGAGGUGGUGGCCCACAGGUUUGAGAGUCUGGACCAAGAAAUGAACAGCCUGAUGGGAAGAAUCCUAGAUGUUAAUCAGAUAGUUCAGCAGCUCCUGGAUGGAGGUCACCCGUCAUCUACAGAGGUCAGAGGUUGUCAGGACCAUCUCAACUCCAGGUGGAACAGCAUUGUGGAGCUGGUUGAGGAGAAGAAAGAUCAGAUGAACUCGAUGUUACGCCUGCAGAACUACCUGCUUGAAUGUGCCGAGAUCAAGUCCCAGAUACAGGACAAGAGAAAAGCCAUCGACGCCACGCAGUAUGUGGGCAGUGACCUGGGAGGAGUCAUGGCUCUGCAGAGACGCCUUUCCACCAUGGAGGGAGCCCUGUCUGUCCUGGAGCCCAAACUUCUGCAUCUGCAGGAGGAGGCAGAACAUCUUGCCACGGUUCACUCAGGUCGAGCCAUAGAGAUUCUGGUGCCAUUUGAUGGCAUCAGUGUAGAGUGGGAGGAGCUUAAACACACCCUGCAGGGAUGUGAGGACUCGCUGAUGGUGGCAAGCAGACUGCAAAGCUUCAUACAGGACCUGGACUCGUUCCUCACCUGGUUGGUCCAGACGCAGACGGCUGCUGCAUCAGAACAGCUGCCCAAUGACCUGGAGGAGGCCGAGAGACUUAUCAACAAACACGCUGCCCUCAAGGAGGAGAUAGGACGGUAUGAAGAGGACUACGAGCGUCUGCAGGCCAUGAACGAGCUGCUGGAGUCUGAGGAGGCUCCUCUCCCUCAGGCCGCGCUGCAGCAGUGGCUCCAGAAGCUCGAUGUCGGCUGGAAUAAACUGCUGGAGAUGUGGGAGAGCAGGAGAGAAGUUCUGGUCCAAGCUCACAUUUUCCAUCUGUUCAUGCGAGACGUGAAACAGGCAGAGUCCUUCCUCAAUAACCAGGAAUCGGCCCUCGCUCACGUGGAGCUGCCCACCACAGUGGAAACAGUCGAAGCCGCCAUAAAGAAACACAAGGACUUCACAACCACCAUGGAGCUGAACCUGCACCGGAUCAAAGCUGUGAUCGAGGCAGGAGAGAGUCUGAUCAGUCAGAGCAACAUCUACUCUGAUCGCAUCAGGGAACGCAUCGACACCCUCGCCACCAGGGGAAACCAGAACAGAGAGCUGGCCCAGCAGUGGCUGGAGAAACUGAAUGACCAGUGGGAACUUCAGAGGUUUCUUCAAGACUGUCAUGAGCUGGGGGACUGGGUGUGUGAGAAGAUGCUAAUGGCGAGAGAUAGCAGCCGAGACGAGACCCAGAAGCUUCAUAAGAAAUGGCUGAAGCAUCAGGCCUUCAUGGCGGAGUUGGCCCAGAACAAGGAAUGGCUGGACAAAAUUGAAAAGGAGGGCCAACAGCUGAUCCAGGAGAAGCCGGAGCUCAGACCUGUCGUCCGGAGGAAGCUGGAGGAGAUCAGGGAAUGCUGGCAGGAUCUGGAGAGCACCACCCAGGCAAAGGCCCGCCAGCUCUUUGAGGCGAACAAGGCCGACCUGCUGGUGCAGAGCUAUGAAAGCCUGGACCAGAGGCUGGGUCAGCUGGAGGAUCAACUGGUUUAUGUGGACCAGGGACAGGACCUCACCACUGUCAACAAGCAGCUCAAAAAACUACAGACCAUGGAGGUUCAGAUGGAGGAGUGGUAUAAGGAGGUGGGGCAGCUGCAGGUGCAGUCGUCGUCCAUACCACAGCAGACACAGGUCAAAGAGACGGUUGCGGAGCGUCAGGCAGCCGUGGAGGCCAGGAUGGUGCGUCUGAUCGAGCCACUGAAGGAAAGACGGCGCAUCCUGCUGGCGUCUAAAGAAGUCCACCAAGUUGGACGAGACCUGGAGGAUGAGAUUUUGUGGGUGCAGGAGCGCCUCCCGAUGGCCAUGUCUCAGGAGCACGGUUCCACGUUGCAGGCCGUCCAGCAGCUCAUGAAGAAGAAUCAGACACUGCAGAGGGAGCUGCAGGGCCACAGGAGCAGGAUUGAGGACGUCCUGGAGAGGGCAGGAAUCAUCGCCUCUAUACGCAGCCCCGAGGCUGACUGUGUCAGGGCUGGCUACAACCAACUGGCCCAGCUAUGGGCUGUGCUCUGGACUGAGACUGAGAGAAGGCAGCUGGUUCUGGAUGCCAUGUACCAGGCUCAGCAGUACUACUUUGACACAGCUGAAGUGGAAGCCUGGCUGAGCGAGCAGGAGCUGCACAUGAUGAAUGAGGAGAAGGGGAAGGACGAGCCGAGCACACUGCAGCUACUGAAGAAACACUUGGUCUUAGAACAGACCAUUGAAGACUAUGCAGAGACCAUCGGCCUGUUGUCACAGCAGUGCCGGCAGCUGCUGGAGAUGGGACAUCCAGACUUUGAGCAAAUCAGCAAGCGCCAGUCACAGAUCGACCGUCUGUACGUGUCCCUGAAGGAUCUGGUGGAGGAAAGAAAGAGCCGCCUGGAGCAGCAGUACUGGCUCUACCAGCUCAACAGAGAGGUGGACGAGCUGGAGCAGUGGAUUGCUCAGAGGGAAGUGGUCGCCAGCUCUCCUGAACUGGGUCAAGACUUUGAGCAUGUGACAAAAACAUUCCCUCUGCUCAUUCAGGUCCUGCAGGAGAAGUUCACAGAGUUUGUGUCAGAAACGGGAAGUGUGGGGCAGGAGCGAGUGACGGCCAUCAACCAGAUGGUGGACGAGCUCAUCGACUACGGCCACUCAGAGGCCGCCACCAUAGCAGAAUGGAAGGACGGAGUGAACGAGGCCUGGGCCGACCUACUGGAGCUCAUGGAGACCCGGACGCAGAUGCUGGCUGCCUCUCACCAGCUGCACAAGUUUUUCUCUGACUGCAGAGAGGUUUUGGCCCAGAUUGAGGACAAACAUCGAAGACUGCCAGAAGUUCGGGCUCGGCAGGGCAGCACUGCCAACACCAGCACUCUGCAGAGACUCCUGAACAGCUUUGAACAAGACAUCCAGCUGCUGGUCACACAGGUGCGUCAGCUACAGGAGAGUGCAGCCCAGCUGAGGACAGUGUAUGCCGGCGAGAAGGCCGAAGCCAUCGCGUGCCGUGAGCACGAAGUGAUGCAGUGCUGGAAGGAGCUGUUGACGUCCUGCGAGGAGUGUCGAGUGCAAAUCACCACAGAGACGGACAAGCUUAGGUUCUUUGGCAUGGUCCGAGAUCAGCUCAUGUGGAUGGAUUCAAUCAUCUGUCAGAUCGGGACGGGAGAGAAGCCCAGGGAUGUGUCCUCAGUGGAGGUGCUGAUGAAUUAUCACCAGAGUCUGAAGAGUGAAGUGGAGGCUCGCAGCCGCAGCACACUUGAGUGUAUCGAGAUGGGAAAGACCCUGCUGGCUGCCAGAAACCCUGCAGCUGAAGAGAUCAAGGAGAAGCUGGACAAGGUGGUUGCUAAGCAAUAUGAGCUGUCUGAGAAGUGGGACAAGCACUGGGAAGUACUACAGCAAUUGCUGGAGGUUCACCAGUUCGCCCAGGAAGCAGCCGUGGCAGAGGCGUGGCUGACCGCUCAGGAGCCACUCAUCAGCAGCAGAGAGCUGGGCACCAGCGUAGACGAAGUAGAGCAACUAAUUCGUCGACACGAAGCCUUCCGCAAAGCAGCUGCUACCUGGGAGGAGCGAUUCAGCUCACUGCGACGACUCACCACUGUGGAAAAGUUGAAAGCAGAGCAGAGUAAACUGCCCCCAACCCCUUUGCUGGGGCGCAAAGUCUUCCUGGACCCCCAAGAUGCCUUACCCAGUUCAUCCACCCUUCCCCGUCUCCAAAUCUCCCCCGUUAUGAGACAGACUAUCUAUGAACAGACAGAAGCCAGCUCACCUCCUUCACCCUCGCCAGCCACGCCCACACCCUCUCCUUCGUCCGCGGUUCGUCGGCUGGGAUCAACAGUCGCUAAUUACACUCCUGUGAUGAAUGGCUCCAGUUAUCGCCAAACCCUGGAGACAAAGCAUGCUGGGGUGGCGGGUGUGGGUGCAGGACUAGGUAAACCCGCACCCUCCUCAAUCGCUUCAAUAGCCACGGCAGCCAUGCUCGUCUCAGCCAAUCAGGUGCGAGAAAGCGUUGGCACGGUGAGAGACCAAGCAUCAAAGUCGGUGAGUCACCUCCAGCCUGUACAGGCAGCAAAGGACGUGGAGGUGAAAGUGUCUCCGUAUCUAAGGCAACCCAAAAUCAAACACAUGGAUGACAUAGUGACGCCUCUGAUCAUUGCGAGUCGACUGGAGAAGGUGAGGGAGAGAGGGAGGGAGAGAGAGAUGAUGAUGGGAGAGAUAGGGAAAGAGAAAGCAGAGGUGGCGGUGAUGGCUGAGGUGGUGCUGCAGGAGCCGGGUCGGGAGCGUUUGCAUAGCGAACCCACCAGAGGGCCCCGGGGAUCCAGGAUUGAUCAUGCUGAGCCUCAGACAAACACCUACCACAGGGAGCACAGGAUAGAACGGCAGCUGUCCAGUGAGCAGCUGAUCCAGGCGCGACGAGACGAGCUGCCUCAGGAGGUGUGGAGGGAACAUGCUGAGAGACGGGAGAGAAGGACACUAGAGAGACAAACGUCCAGUGAGCACGAGAACCACGGGGGCCACGAGGGUCGGCGGAGAGAGAGGGACCGACACAGACCGGAGAAACAGGAGUCCAGUGAGAUUGACACCGGGAAGGAGCAUUCAGACAGACGCUCAGGAGGAGGAGAAAAAAGAUCCACCCUGGCAGAAAUUGUAGAGCAGCUGCAGGAAAGAGAAGCAGCACAGGCCCGUGGCGAGGUGCCCCGCCUCCCAAACGGCGUGCCAGAGAAGUCUUCCCGUCCCGAACGGCCUCGAGCUCGGGACAGACCCAAACCACGGCGCCGACCACGACCCAAAGAGGCGGGAGAGACAACGAGGCGGUCCAGAUCCGCUCCAGCUCAGAGUAGCCCAGCAGUCCCCCAGCCCCCAUCGCACACCGCACAUCACGAGGGCUUCCUUUUCCGCAAACUGGACAUUGAGAGUCUGAAGAAGAGCACCAACAGGUGGGUGUCCAGGGUCAUAAUGAUAAACACAACCUGAAGAGGAGGUGAAAGGAGUCAUGGAGGAGGAGAAUGGACACUGGUGUCAUGAGAAUCAGACUUGUGCAUGGUCAGGUGGUACUUGUAGGACUGGUUUUUAAGAAAGGUUAUUUCUAACUGGAAUGGUGGGUUUAAUCACAAUUCAAGAUGUGUUUUCAGAUGCGUCCUUCGUCUGAAAAUGGUAUAUGUCAAGCAAUACUAUCAGACCUGACUGAGGGAGCGUUUUUGUGUAGCAGCAUAGGUUUAGGCAGGGGCAAAAAGUGUUUUCUCAUCAAACUGCUGAAGGACCGUGUUUUCUGAGCAAUAGCAUCACUUUGUUGGGCACUUCUAUGUGUUUUCAGUCGUACUCCAACCUGUAGCCGUUUUACUUUCCCAGCACAAUGUUGCUGUUGCCUCUGUUUGUCUUCACAUAGAUCUAAACACCACUAUACUGAGAAACAGAGCAGUGUGUGGCUGAUAGUCCUCAUCAGUAAUAUGGGAACUCAUUUGACAGUGGUUUGAAUGUAAUGGACAAUUUGCAUAUAUUUAGAAAUGACACACUACAGUUUGAACUAUUGAUUGAUUGUAAACUGGCUAAAACAAGCAGUUUGACUCAUGUUGGCUACAGAACAUGUCUCUGUUCCUGCUGCCGUCUGUUACUCGUGAUACCAACAUCCCUCUUCCUCCCUCUGCUCCAUUUCCAGAUUCAAAAACAAUGACAGCAGCAUGACUUUAGCAUGCUAAGCUAAAAGGCUAACACGCUCCGCUUACAAAGAUGCAUGACUGACACCAGCUCAGAUCAUGACACUUGGUUCCUCUUUGGUUGCUUGAGCAAGGAGACAUAAAUGUGUGUGUGUGUGUUGCUGUUGUUUCCAAGCAUCAAGCAUUCAUUAAGCAGUUUGAAUAUAAUGAUGUUUGGAUGUUUACAUAUUUCACUGUAACUAGGAAUUAUUUUGCUUCCAACAAAUCGGAAUACUGAGAAACUUUCUGCUUUUGACAAUCGUAACCAAGUCAUAUAAUGAUUUACAUCCAGUGGGAAAGUUAGGUAGUGAAUGAGUAACAAAUAUGUCACUGUAUUUUUUGUAUUAUACUGUAUUUUUUUGAUAUUUGUCUCUUCAGUCAUAUUAUAUUUUCCUAAAAAAAACCCAGUGAAGUUGACAGUGUUAGAACAUCACACGUGCCUUAGUUUCUUAGCUUUGUGUCAGUUUGUCUACACAGAAACUAAACACAGGCAUUGAUAAUGGCAGCAGGAGUUUUUCUCAUAUCAGGCGGCAACAUUAGAUUGUCAUAUGUCUUCUAUGAUCAUCAGUUACAUGAACUCAAAAAGUAGCUCUUAGAAAUGUCACCGCAUGUGAAAAUGACACGCAUGAAGCUUACGAUGCCUCCCGAUGUAACACAGAGUGAGACACAGCAGAUUUGACUGGCUGGCUAUGGCAGACUGAGCUGCUGGCUGAUGAGAGCUGUGGGAGGAAAGACUGAGAAAGCACACACACACACACACACACACACAUGCUUGCACAACUAUCCAUUUAAGGAAUCUAUUGACUUCCAUUCAUUUGAACUGCCUAUGUUUAUAAAUAUGGGUUAGUAUGUGAACAGUAUUUCAAAAACGUUUCACAAUUCUUCCACAUUAGGACCAGAUUUUGGUCUCCAUGAGAACAGCUGGUCCUGACAAAGUCAGUCUUUAUGCCAGAAAAGUCUUAAGAGGUGACAAAUACAAGUAGUAAACAUACACACACACACACACACACACACAUACACACACACAUGCUGGCCUCCACAGAUGACUGUCCGCCCUGCUUCCUUCCAAGAGACACAGAUGGCAAAGUCUCUGCACUGCCCUCUAGUGGCUGGACUGACCACGCACUGCUAUAAAGCUCAUCCUGUUCCUGCUCAGGAUGAAUCCCACGCAUGUCUCCACUCAAGGCAGUGGAUGAAUAUCCCAUAUGUACAUGCCCUGUUAUGUACAUGCCAAGGUAAAAGCAUAAUCCUGGAUGGCUGAUCAGCUGAGUGUGACUGUGACUGUGAAUCUCCAAACAGUUCCUCGUCUGACUUCCUCUUCACUCUGUCCUUGACUUGAGUUUGACUGGAGGAGAAGAUCUGCAGGUCAGGCUCUCAGAACAUUUCCUCCAGUCAUUAGUGAGAAAAAGAGGUUAGUCUGUGAGGAGCCACUGAGAUUCAACCUGUCUCUGUUACGUAGCAACAUGACAAGACACCAAUUUUGUUUAUGUGCACAUUAUUAUUCUGGUAUUAUUCAGGACUACAAGUGAGGUAAAUGUGGAAAAAAAGUACUUACAUCAUUUCUGAUAUCCAAAGGCCACCGUAGUUCCUUGAUGGUCCCCUGUUUGUUGCAGUCUAUCCAUUAGAUGUCACUAAUUAUUACAUACUGGACCUUGAAGUUUUACAUACCUUUUGGUGUGGUGCAAGUUAUUAUUUAACCUUCAUAUGAAGUUAUUAUGUCUUUAUUGGGAUUUAACAACUGCAGCUCCUGUGGUGGUCCGGUUCUUUGUGUUUCCCAAAAAGAAAGAUUCACUGUGUGUCAGGCUGUGGUUAAACCUGGGAGAGUCUCUAACAUUAACACGUUUUGAUAAUGUCUCUAAACCAUAAAUGGACUUUAGCAAUAGAACCAGUGCAGGCUUCAAAAUAAAGACUGAUUUAUACUCAGUUGUGUGAUAUCGUCACAGUCACUGUCUCCUUGCAGUGUUUUCUCCUCAAACUAUUUCCCAGUUUCUCUCCUGUUUGGUUCAACGAAGCAAGUACUGACAACGUCUAAUCCUCACAGUAAAUAUAAAUACAAUAUAGAAUAUAGUGCUCGAGGUGAUACAGUACUGAAUGAGCCUGCUGAACGAUAGUGUGUGGUUAUCACGACGAAGACUGAAUACUUUUGUCUAGACGUAAAUUGAAAACUUUGCUCAACACCACUCGUGUUUUGUAGAGGGAGAAUCAUCUACAAUGUUAUAAAUUAUUAAACAUUACUUUUAAACAGGACCCAGUGAUGGACUGGCGACCUGUGCAGGGUGUACCUUGCCUUUUGCCCUAUGUCAGCUGGGAUUGGCACCAGCGAAUGAAUUAAUAAACAUGCUUAAGAAGAGGAUAAAAGUUUCACACUGGUUGUAAUGUGGAGAUUGAAUGUGUGUGAUUGGAAGCUUGUUGAUAUUUGAAAUACUGGUGAAAGUAUAUAUUAAAAAAAGACAAGUCAGGAUCUGACAUGGCAUAUGAAGCUGCACACGUAUAGUGUGCCCUGAAUAAUACCUUUAUCUGGUUAUAAAGGCUGUUGACCGGAAUGCUUUGUGCAUGUGCACACAUAGCAGGAAAAGAAUGACCACACUUUAAAUGUGAUGUUACCAAAAUGCCAUUUAACCAAACUCUUCUGUUUUUCUUUUCCCUGUCCUCCUCGGUGCUGCUGAUGGCUCGUCUCGUCUCCUCCAAGGUGUGUCCAUGAAGAAAAUACAGAAUUCACUCACACUGGUGUUGUAAGCAAACAACAAUAACCACAAUUCAUCCACACCUACCAUGGAUGAAUCAACAAUGCUGAUGAAGAGAUGACAGUGGAGGACAAGAGUGUAAAAGAGAAAACAGUGAAAUUUCACCUUGUUCUUGAGACAUGAAUAGAAAUAAAAAACACUUGAAAUCCUGCUCAUAAGAAAAGAUCACACCACUGAAAUUUGCUAAAAUGUUCUUUAGUUGGAGAUCUGCAAAUGGAGCCGCUUCCCUUUGUUCAUGUAGAGUUUAUUUAGGAUAUAAGAUUUUCUCGUGAGCGUUUCUGCAGGACAGAUAAGUUACCAGGUGUUUGGACCUGCAACAUAAAGACAACAGGAGGGCUCAGUCGCUGCCGUCCAUGCGGCUGAUUCAGAGAGACAAUAAAGACAGAUGCACGGAGUGGUCAGAGAGAAACAGCCUGUGGUUACCAGGGGCCUCAUUCAUUAAAAUGAUGUUUGAGUUUUGUUAAAUUGAUAUUAAAAAAAGAAAAAUGUCAAUGGCUCUAUCUCGCCACUGUGUAUAUCUUUAAUAACAUUGCUGAAAUUUAUUUUGAUCUACAAAUUUUAUUAUCAAGAUCAGGUUUUCAUGGCUGGCUUUGGUCAUAAGCACAAAAUCUCCACCUGGCAUGUUUUUAAUGAGUGAGGCCUCAGGCUUCAUCUACUCUGAAAUAAUUACAUCUGUUGCAUCCGUUUUUAUACAGAAUUAAAAGAUGACGUGUUUGUUGCGCGUGUGUGGAUUUUGUGUGUGCACAUACGUGUGUACUGCUGCUCUCCACUCCCAGGGUCUCCAUAGCUCUCAGGUUAUUUAUGUUAGUGUGUGCUUAUGUGUGCUUUUUGUGUUAAUAUGUUUGUCCCCUCAGAUGCCAUGUCAGUCUUCCAGAGAAAUUAAAUUCAUAACAGACCUACACACGCACACACACACACACACACACACACAUUACAGCGUGAAUGGAGAAACUGUCUCGGUCAUCAUCCCAUCAGUGUAGCGUUAGAAGGGAAUGAAUGCCUGAAUAAAUGAAUUAAUUAGUGAAUGAAGUGAUGCACAUGUGACAGCCAGGAUUUCACGCUGACCAAAUAUUUAUCAAAAAGGGUUAAACUGUCUGUAAGUUGUGAGAUUGCAUGUUUUGCUUAGAGAGAAAUCACUCAUCUAAAAAAGCUUGUCUUUGCUACCCACUGACUCUGUAUCCACUCAUCAGUUCAUUUCAUGUCAAAUCACCACAAAGCCAUAGACCACAGGCAAAUGAGGAGGAAACGGUCAACAUCCAUUUAGCUGUUCAAACCAGCCCAAGGCUGAGGGGCAGAGAAAAGAAGCAUCCAGGUCAGAUAGCAUUUAAAAUCCUUGAGUCAGUCAUUACAAAUGUGGUUUCAAUAGCCCAUCAUCUGUAUGGGAGUAGUGUUCAUUUUUGGUUAUGUUAUAAUGGAUAUAAUGUUUAAAGUCCAACUGAAAUUCAUGUCUUUUUAUCUUUACUGCUCUGUAAGUUAUGUCCUGUGCACUCCUUUUAGAAAACAUCAGUAAUGACGAUGGUGACCACUAGUUUUGCAUUAAUUGGUCAAUUACCAUUAUAUUCAUACAACCAAUAAAGUUGCUUUAUUUUAAACCAAAUUUGUUUUUUUUUUAAUUUUUUAGAAAUCUCUGUUUAUCAGGGUAACGUUUUUGUUUUUGAAACCUAAAUAUUCAGGUGAGGAGCUAACAGUAUUAUCUGUAAGUUCUAGAUGUGUGUUUGUAUUUUUUUUUAUUUGUUUAUUUUUAAGUAGUUCUUAAUUCACACCAGGAUUUUAAAUUCUCUCUUGACCUGUCAGACUGGGUUGUAUUUGUCAUAAAACAUGUCUUGAGAACUUGUAACUUUAUUUUUCUUUUAGUCUCAACACUUUUUAUGCAUCUAAAGUAGGCGUAAAAGCCAGAUCAAUGCAAUCAUUUACAUGCAUGUUGGACACAACAAACAGUCAGAGUUCAAAGAGGUGAACUCUGAAGGAGAUGAAAGUGACACAGGACAGUCCUCUGCUGUCAGAUUAUGACUAACAUCUUAAUGAACUGACACACCUUGAUGCCGUCGACAGGCACACGACAGAAAGUGCAGGGUACAGCUAUUAUGCUUACAGAUGACAUAAAGUAUGUAGUUACAACCAUUACUAUGCUGCUGACAGCAGAAACAAUCAGGUAUUCCAAAAGCAUCUUGGGUAACAUCUUGGUUUGGGUGGUGGUAGGUACCCUGCUCAUCUGUGUGUGUCUACUGUCCUGUUCACAUCAAACUCAGUUUGUCAGCCGAGAUGAACUGGCAAAUAAAAAAACUUUUGAUUUAU